UGAUAAAGGUAGCAUAAUAAUUUGCCUUUUAAUUGAUGGCUAGAAUGAAAAGAACAAACGUAAAAUACCUGUCUCUUAUUUAAAAAAGAAUUUUUAUAUUGAGGUGAAAAAGCCUUGAUUCCAAUAUAAGACAAAAAGUCCCGGAAGUUUCCAAAGAAAAAAUAAUAUUAUAUCUAACUUUUUGGCUGGGGAAG
Molecule: ribosomal RNA, 194 nt
Filed under: Eurysyllis tuberculata
Lineage: Eukaryota; Metazoa; Annelida; Polychaeta; Phyllodocida; Syllidae
Description: partial 16S large subunit ribosomal RNA
Source: RNAcentral